This 2307-nucleotide unclassified non-coding RNA is filed under the name Leishmania donovani. RNAcentral's name for it is "gene:unknown". Lineage: Eukaryota; Euglenozoa; Kinetoplastea; Trypanosomatida; Trypanosomatidae. The record is from RNAcentral.
ACCAACAGAAGCCGCGAACGCCGGUGCUCGAGCGCUGCGCAGCUUCGCCGGUGGAGCUUCACCCGGUGGAUCGACAGCGGGUUGCGUUGGGUAAGUCUGUGCCGUUGUCCUCUCUCUCUCCCUUUCUUCCUCAUCACGAUCACGAUGUCCGCGCCUGCGGCCGACAGCGAUCACACAGCGAAGGUGACUCGUGUUUUAUAUGCACGCACACAACCGUCUUCGACAGCAAGGCGUCUCGCUACUACGCCGUAGCUUCGACGAAGCCAUACAACAAGCUGCUUAGCACCGCACUGCGCGCUGAUGUGGAAAGGAUGAUCGCCGAAAACGGCGGCGGGGGGGGUGCGUGCUGCGAUGCUGGAGCGGCUCCCGGCCGUACCGGCGCAGUUCACCGCAACGACUAGAGAGCUGCGGCGUAUCCGUCCCUUGAGACGGGGGGGGGGGCGCCGCAACAGCGGCGUCCUCCAGUCUUCCGCUAUGCGUGCGCGUGGAGAACGUAACCAUCACAGGUGCUUGGAAAAGCUUUUACGCGAACCCGGAGCUGCUGGGGGUCAGCUUCCAAGUAUACAUUUUUUUUCCGCGAGUCGGCGUUGACGGCCGCGCUCGCAGCACCGGCCGGCGCUAUACGGGUAGCAGGCAAGUCAGCGCAGGUGUCUGUGGUGGCACGCGAUGCUGCCGUCGCAACUGCUGCGGACCCCUGUCCCGGUGUUUCCAACCACCUUUCCUGUGAGACUUACGACCAUGGCUCGACCUUGGCGCUGUCGAGGACUGACGGCAACACAGCGACACAAGGCCCAGAAACGCGUGAAGCGCGCGAUACGAUGAGCUCGAGUGCCGCUGGCAGGCGCCGGGCACGCGGACUUACUGCGGUAGCCACCACACUGAGCUCAUAUACGUCGUCCGUUGCUGCCGACCUUACCGCUCGGCAACCCGACAAACCCUUUAUGUGGAGUCUGCAGAGGGAUGACGCCUUUCCAAGCCUACGGCAGAACCUGCUGAAGGCGCUAACACGCAAGGACUACCUGAGCGCGUACGGGCGCGAGGUGUAUGUGCUCGCCCACCUGACGCUGAGCGAUCUAUCAAGGAUGCUGUCCACGAAGCUGCCGUCUUCGUCAUCCAGGUCUUCCAGGACGCAGGCUCGCACUGCAUCGGGAGAAGUCGCUAGCACUGGUGUAGCUCUGGAUUUGGAAGGCGCAUCAGCCACGGGAGCUUCACAGCGUCACGCUCGCAGCACGACAGGGAUGCUAGCAGUCUCAGAGACGGACGAUGCGAACUCCUGUGACAUCCUCGUAGCUUCGGCAACCUCGCGGAUCCCGCCACGUGGAGGGCCGAACCUAUCCACUCCCAUGACGACCGAUGGCAGGGCGCCGCAUCCAACCGUACUCGUGGAAGCAGCACAGAACGCCUACCACUUCACGCGUUCCUCUGAGUGUACGAACACUACUUGCAUCGCCGGUGCUGUGUGCAUCACGGUGAUGAUCGUUCUCCUUGCCUGUGCGCUUCUCGCGUACGUGCAUCAGCUCUGGCGCCGGCGACGCGAGAAGCGCGCGGACAAGCGGAGGCUGUUGCGACACGAGUUGCGUUGAGUGGUGCGCUGGAAGGGAUGGGCAUGGCUUUGUUACGUAGGCGCAUAGACACGCACAGAUAGACAGCCCGACAAACGUGAGGUGUCUCUCAUGAUCUCCAUCCGACGCACUUGCGUCGGUGCGUGGGCAGGCCUCCAUGUGCAGGCUCCCUUCUGCGCCUUCUGCCUUUUCCAGCUACGGGGAUACCUGUGACACCCCCCCUUUUUGCCAGCGGCGUGUUGUGGCGCUCGCACUGCGACUGCGUGUCUGCGGAACGUCCACACGCAUGUAUAUGUAUGUGUUUGUACUCCUAUUUUUUUUUUUUUCGGAAUAUCUGCUUAUGUGCAAACAUGUGACUGCCGUGGCGCUGCUGCAACUCUCCCUCUGUCUGUCUGUGCGUGCGUGUGCUUUAUGGACUCCUAUCCUUCCAUGUGCGCACUGGGCAUCAAGACACAGCGGGCGCUCUCCGUCGCUUCUCUCUGCGUACCUCGUCCGCGCUGUGGCAUACGCAGAGCGGCGAUGCACCACACGAUGCCGGGAGGCGAGAGGGCCGAGUGCAGCAGGAGCAGGUGCCUUUUCCUGCGAUUCGUAAACAACUAUAUGCGUGCAUGCAGGCUUUGUGCUGUGUGUCACGUGUCCUCCUGCCGAAGGGCACGCGCAUCCGAAGCUGGACAUGGCAGCCCACGGAGGAACAGCAACCACCACGCCAGCGGAGAGAAAGGGGACAUGACCGUGAAUCUUGCUC